This 779-nucleotide ribosomal RNA is filed under the name Streptomyces sp. PDD-7b-1. RNAcentral describes it as "bacterial SSU rRNA". It matches the Rfam family "Bacterial small subunit ribosomal RNA", at positions 61 to 857 of the family's 1533-position model. Lineage: Bacteria; Bacillati; Actinomycetota; Actinomycetes; Kitasatosporales; Streptomycetaceae. The record is from RNAcentral.
GUCGAACGAUGAACCACUUCGGUGGGGAUUAGUGGCGAACGGGUGAGUAACACGUGGGCAAUCUGCCCUUCACUCUGGGACAAGCCCUGGAAACGGGGUCUAAUACCGGAUAACACUGCCACGGGCAUCUGUGGUGGUUAAAAGCUCCGGCGGUGAAGGAUGAGCCCGCGGCCUAUCAGCUUGUUGGUGAGGUAAUGGCUCACCAAGGCGACGACGGGUAGCCGGCCUGAGAGGGCGACCGGCCACACUGGGACUGAGACACGGCCCAGACUCCUACGGGAGGCAGCAGUGGGGAAUAUUGCACAAUGGGCGAAAGCCUGAUGCAGCGACGCCGCGUGAGGGAUGACGGCCUUCGGGUUGUAAACCUCUUUCAGCAGGGAAGAAGCGAAAGUGACGGUACCUGCAGAAGAAGCGCCGGCUAACUACGUGCCAGCAGCCGCGGUAAUACGUAGGGCGCAAGCGUUGUCCGGAAUUAUUGGGCGUAAAGAGCUCGUAGGCGGCUUGUCACGUCGGGUGUGAAAGCCCGGGGCUUAACCCCGGGUCUGCAUUCGAUACGGGCUAGCUAGAGUGUGGUAGGGGAGAUCGGAAUUCCUGGUGUAGCGGUGAAAUGCGCAGAUAUCAGGAGGAACACCGGUGGCGAAGCGGAUCUCUGGGCCAUUACUGACGCUGAGGAGCGAAAGCGUGGGGAGCGAACAGGAUUAGAUACCCUGGUAGUCCACGCCGUAACGGUGGGAACUAGGUGUUGGCGACAUUCCACGUCGUCGGUGCCGCAGCUAACG